Molecule: long non-coding RNA, 5056 nt
Organism: Maniola jurtina (meadow brown)
Lineage: Eukaryota; Metazoa; Arthropoda; Insecta; Lepidoptera; Nymphalidae
Exons: 2
Source: RefSeq, a predicted model, not a curated record
AAUUAAUAAAUAAAUUAUAAUGUUAAAUAUUAUACACUGCCCUUACAUUGGUAUCAUAAUAUGCUCGUUACAUCAGAUAUAUAUAAUUAUACACGAAAACAUACAAACGCAUGGUUACACAAUCAAUAUACAUACAAAUCAAAAAUAUACCUCGUUGAGCAAUAUAAAAAAUAAAAACUCAUAAUCACUCUUUUAAACUUAAAUCUAGUUUUGUCGUCGAGUUCUAUCGAUUAUUGUGUAGCUUUUUAGUUUAUGGAAUUUGGUAAAAUGGCGCACACUUUCGUAUUAAAGAAAAGUAUUUUAAUUAGUACAGUCAGCAUCAAAUAUUUGUAUCAUGCCAAAAUAAAGCGCAUGACUUGUAGAGGCGUAUACCAAGGUAACUACGAUUACCUGUUGAAAGAACAAACGUUAUAGGUACGCUAUUCGCGGAAAAAAGUUAGUAUAGCUCUGUGUUAUGUAAUCCCAUACAAAUGAUAGAGGCAAAAAUCUCAGUGAGCGCUAACCAUUUUGAGUCAGUCAUAAACCAAACUAAUUCCAUUUGAAUUUGGAAUGUUUUUGAAAACAUGUUUGUGAUUGGUUGGUGACUUAAAAUGGUGAACACCCACUGACAUUUUUGCCUCUAUCAUUUAUAUGGGAUUACGUAACACAGAGAGCACUUUACUAACUUAUUUCCGCGGAUAGAGUAUAAAAUACUUACGUUUUAUACAGUUUUGGUAUUGUAAUGUAAGUUGUAACAAAAUUCGCCAUUUAGUUUAUUUGGCGAUGCAGAAAUCAACUCUUUAAAUAGAUUACAAGUAUUAUUUAUUACGUAGCCUAUCUUAUACAGUGAUUUGAAUAUAUGAAACUGACUGCACAAAUAUUAGUUAAAAAGCGUAGGAAUGUAAGUGAGAGUUAAUUUUCAUACAUUUUGAUUUUUGGCAAUAAUUUCAAUGCAAAAAUUAAAUCAAACCAGCGUAUAGUGUAGUAACUACAUGUACGUAUUAUCUUUUUAAACAACGCAAAAUCCACACACACUCCAACGUAUAAUUAAAUUUACACUAGGUAUUUGUAUAAUUUAUUUUAUCAUUUCCAAUUAAUUAUUUAAACACAAAUAAAUUAAUGUACCAUCCACUGACCUCUGUUAAGAAUGAAUUACACAAAUUACAAGAAUUGAUUACAAAAUUAUACUACAAAAAACACUGCUUAAAGUCACAAGAAAAAGAUAAGAAUACUUUAAAAUUUAGUUGAACACAGAAUCAGUAAAAUAGAUUCUGUUUCGUGUAAAUUCUAAUUAGCACCAAUGUGUAGUAGUUUACUCGGACAUUCAGCAGUCAUUGUAUACCGUAGUAACUGAACUUACUCGGUUUCUAGCACUGUGGCGCAGAACACGAGGCUGACUGUACCUUAUAAAUUUACUGGCUUUCUUUUAUUUUUAUAACGGGAACUGAAAUCAAUUUACAGUCAGUCAAAACAAGCGAACUAUUUAUUUAUUUAGAGGUCAGUGAUCUCAUCCCAUUUAUCCGUCAGCUUUCCAACGUAGGUAUUUUUUUUUAAUUAUUUUAUGGGAAGACUGAUUUGAAUAAACGAUAUAAAUAUGUGGUGGAAACAGAAGAUGGAUGCAUUAAGCUUUGGUCACAUCAAACUCAGGGCGGCAGCGGUACGCUAAUCAAGCUGGGCUGUCGGAUUUUAAUACAAGGAUCUAAUACAAUACAACAUCGAAUGCUAACACUGUUGAAUAAGUCCCUGAAUAGAUCUUUAAAAAAUAACUCCCUUUAUUAUUUAUAAAGAAUAUUUUUUUAUAUUACCUGUUGUAAAAAAAAUUAAGAUAUAAAUUGCGCGAAAGAUCUUUAUAAUAUAACUCUCUAAAUUAUAUAAAAUUGUUUUUUUAAUUAUUGCAAAAAAAAAUUAUGAUACAAAUUGCACUGUGCUAACACAUAGGGCUCAUUUUUAAUUGCGUACGUUUUAGCAAUGUUAAAUUCUUGAAAGAAAUGCAAAAGCGAAAAAAUGUACGUGGACAAGAUUCGUGGUUUGUAAAGUCAUUAAAUUAGAUGAAGUACUAUAAUUUACUGCAAUAAAUACUUGUUAAAAGCUUUGUUUAAAUUCAACCUUAGCUCUUUGUAUUAACAAAACACAGUAACCCGCUUGCGCAACGCGCGUCUGCCGCUUCGCGUUCGUUGUGACCAAGCCUUUUGAUAUUUAGCUCUUUACCCUAUACGUCUAUUUUGUUCGUAAUAAAUCUCUAAGUUACGUGAGUUUUGCCUCGCUUUACUUUAGGUAUAUUUAAACACUAAUUACAAUAUUGAGUAUAAAAACGUAUUAAAUACAUCAAAAAGAUCUAGUAACUUACGAUCCCUCCGCUUUGAGAUAUGACUAGAAAAUUCAUUGUACAACUCCUCUGUACUCUAUCCACGGAAAUAAGUUAGUAUAGGCCUCUCUGUUACGUCCCAUACACAUGACAAAGAUCUCAGUAGGCGUUAACCAUUUUGAGUCACCAAUCGAUCGCAAACAAACUACCUACAUAUGUUUUCGAAUGAUUUUUGAAAACACUUUCGAAAAAUUUUUAUUUGUCUUUGACAUUUGUAUGGGAUUACGUAACAGAGAGAGCGCUAUACUCUCUGGAUAGAAUAUAGUGGUUAUCAGUCCCGAUAGUUGAGAAAGUGGCACUUGAAUUGUACCUCGGAGCACACCUCAAGCUUUAGUGGCCUUAAAGCUAAAUCCCAUCAAGGUUGCUAAUUGCUAUACACAUAGUCGGCUGUCGUGGCUGGGCAUAUUGUCCGUCAAAAAGGACGCUGUCCGGAUUUACCCUCUACGUGCGCAAAGAUUCAAGCCAUAUCUCAAAUGUAUCACAUAUUAUAAUUAAUUAAAGCCUCUCCCAGACAUGUGUAGAAUUCGAGUCGGAAUUUUUGUACCUAUUACCUACGAUAUAGGUAGGAUUUUUGUAAUAAAAUAUUUACGACGAUUCAAGGACGCAGAAAUAUAUCAGGGGGUUUUCUGGGAAAAAUAAAAAAAACAAUUUCAAUAAUCUAGUACGAAAUGAACGGUUAUCGGUCGGUAUUCCGUCCGAAAUUCCACACACAUAUCGGUGAGCAUAAAUAAUAAUCAGAGGAUGUUCCCCUAUCAAAAUAAAAAAUGUACAAAAAAAUAUUUUCAUCUGUAAAUGCUUGCCCGUGUAAUGCGCGUAUCACAAAAUAAGUGUGGAUUGACCCCCCCUACUACUAUUGUACAGUGUUCGACCUUAACACUAUUUCGCAUACAAAUAUCCCCCGUUGGGUUGCCACUUCCAAAAAAGCUAUAGUUAUUCGAUAUGCAAUAUUACAAAAUGGUACCAAAAAAAAAAGUAACGCUCAGUAAAAUAAAAUUAGUUUUUUUAAAGAUAUGGGAUUCUCGGAAAAGGAUAGAAAUAAUAACGUUUUUUUUUAUAAACUCUCUGAUAAUAUGAAUUAGCAAAUAAAAAAAAUAUCAAAGCUCAAUAUUUAAGCUACUUGGCGCUAUCCAUUCCAAAGAAAGUUUCCGAAAAGAAGGUAAAAACAAAACCGGAAUGGCCAUGCAAUAAAGAGAUAAACAUCAAAUGAAAGUGACAGCCCUAAUUACAAUAAUGGCAAUUGCGCUGAAAAGUAGCCCUUGUAGAAAAAUAAAUUGUCCCAUUUUGAUAAUACUAGCCUUACGGGGUCAGUCGCUAUGUGGAUUAUUUUAUUUUUGGACGAGUCCCUAAUUUGAGACAUCACAAUUUUCGGAAUCACGAAAAUCACUCGUCCUAGCACUGUUGCUAGGACAUUGGACAAGAAGCAGAAUCAUCAGUCAACACAACCGGAAUGGACUAAGAGCUGGGGGACUAUUUACUCAAAUGAUUUCAAAGCAUAUCCAACUUUACAUUGAUCUUAUAGUCUACAGACAAAUAAACGACGACGUAACAAAGUAACCCUGAACUUCAUAGAUAUAUUUUACCAUUUAUUUUUCUAAUAGCCAGUUGCAAAAUUAUGUUUUGUUUGUCAAAAUAAAUUAAUACUAAGACCGAUAAAAACACUGAAAGAUAUUGCAUUUCCCAGCUCUUGGCCACAGAAUAAUAACUCAAAAAUCAUUAUAAUUUAAAAAGAAUAACAAAAUACUGUGUUUUUAAGUCAUUACGGAUUCGUAUAUAAAGUAAUAAGUAUAAACUCAUAAAAAUGGCGAGAAUAAUAAAUAAUCUAAUAUAAAAUAGGGAUAACAAAUAAAAACAACACAAAAGCUGCCGCGGUUAAUGGUCAUACUACAGCCACUAUCCACUUAGGCUGAGAUCUUGGGACAAAGUUAAAACGAGAUAGAUUUAUCUGAGAAAUAACUCUGUCUCGUUUAAACUUAAGUCUGAGCAAAGUCAAAGUGUCAAAUCUCAGCCAGAGACCUAUAGAGCACAGUUUGAUUUUGCUCACAGUUUAUUUGGAAUAAAACAAGUCAGAUUUUAACUGCAAUGUUUCAAGUCUGAAAGUCACUCUAUAGAUCUCAGACUUAGCGCCGCUUCAUUGACGCUUAUUCCUUUUUGCACGCUUACUGAAAGCUUACAUGCUGCUUUCAUAAAAAAUUCCAUAUAACUAAAAUCAGUUAUAGGUACUCAAGUCGAAACUGUAAACUGAAUCAAAUUGACAAGUCAAAACUUUAAAUGCAGUGCUUUAUAUAUACUAUACUAUAGGUACUUUUUUACAAUGUUCUCAAACGAAAAGGCUAGCAUUAUUUUAAGAACUGUCAAUUUAGUUUGAUAUCUAAAAAUUCGAUAUGGAAGCAACAGCAAGCGCACAGCAUAUAGUGACGAUUACGCGUAAGUGAAGCGACGCUAUGUGUCCAGUGGCGUUAUUUUACAAUAAUUAUGUCUAAAAUAAACGAAAUAAUUGAACAUGUUGGAAGAAUACGAAUCUUAAUUUAAUGUUAUAAAACAAUUCACCUAAGAUUUUGACACAUGAACGAUUGCAAAAAUAACUGUUUUAAAAAUGUAUGCAAUAAAAAUUUAGCAAAUAACUUUUACACCAGCUCCUACACUAUAAGAACGGUAUUUUUGUUUUGGAAUUCAUUGGUAUACUGUAAAAUCGAUCAUGUGUGGUUGUAUUUA